This 3109-nucleotide ribosomal RNA is filed under the name Salmonella enterica subsp. enterica serovar Infantis. RNAcentral describes it as "23S ribosomal RNA". It matches the Rfam family "Bacterial large subunit ribosomal RNA". The record is from RNAcentral. Lineage: Bacteria; Pseudomonadati; Pseudomonadota; Gammaproteobacteria; Enterobacterales; Enterobacteriaceae.
GGGUUGUGAGGUUAAGCGACUAAGCGUACACGGUGGAUGCCCUGGCAGUCAGAGGCGAUGAAGGGCGUGCUAAUCUGCGAUAAGCGCCGGUAAGGUGAUAUGAACCGUUAUAACCGGCGAUACCCGAAUGGGGAAACCCAGUGUGACUCGUCACACUAUCAUUAACUGAAUCCAUAGGUUAAUGAGGCGAACCGGGGGAACUGAAACAUCUAAGUACCCCGAGGAAAAGAAAUCAACCGAGAUUCCCCCAGUAGCGGCGAGCGAACGGGGAGGAGCCCAGAGCCUGAAUCAGCAUGUGUGUUAGUGGAAGCGUCUGGAAAGGCGCGCGAUACAGGGUGACAGCCCCGUACACAAAAGCGCAUGUGCUGUGAGCUCGAUGAGUAGGGCGGGACACGUGGUAUCCUGUCUGAAUAUGGGGGGACCAUCCUCCAAGGCUAAAUACUCCUGACUGACCGAUAGUGAACCAGUACCGUGAGGGAAAGGCGAAAAGAACCCCGGCGAGGGGAGUGAAAAAGAACCUGAAACCGUGUACGUACAAGCAGUGGGAGCCCCACCACUAAGCCAGUGGUGAACUCCACAUACGCAUCCUUUGCUGAGGAUACGGUUAACGGAGCGAAAGCGACGUUCAACCGCAAAAGAAGCAGAGGGGGCUUAGUGGUGGGGUGACUGCGUACCUUUUGUAUAAUGGGUCAGCGACUUAUAUUCUGUAGCAAGGUUAACCGAAUAGGGGAGCCGGAGGGAAACCGAGUCUUAAUUGGGCGUUAAGUUGCAGGGUAUAGACCCGAAACCCGGUGAUCUAGCCAUGGGCAGGUUGAAGGUUGGGUAACACUAACUGGAGGACCGAACCGACUAAUGUUGAAAAAUUAGCGGAUGACCUGUGGCUGGGGGUGAAAGGCCAAUCAAACCGGGAGAUAGCUGGUUCUCCCCGAAAGCUAUUUAGGUAGCGCCUCGUGAAUUCAUCUCCGGGGGUAGAGCACUGUUUCGGCUAGGGGGCCAUCCCGGCUUACCAACCCGAUGCAAACUGCGAAUACCGGAGAAUGUUAUCACGGGAGACACACGGCGGGUGCUAACGUCCGUCGUGAAGAGGGAAACAACCCAGACCGCCAGCUAAGGUCCCAAAGUCAUGGUUAAGUGGGAAACGAUGUGGGAAGGCCCAGACAGCCAGGAUGUUGGCUUAGAAGCAGCCAUCAUUUAAAGAAAGCGUAAUAGCUCACUGGUCGAGUCGGCCUGCGCGGAAGAUGUAACGGGGCUAAACCAUGCACCGAAGCUGCGGCAGCGAACGUAUCACUUAAAGCGAUUCAGCGGGUUACGAUUGACGGAGCGAAGCGACGUCAAAGCGUAUACAAAGUCGAGUCGGUUUAAGGAUACGUUCGUUGGGUAGGGGAGCGUUCUGUAAGCCUGUGAAGGUGUGUCGUGAGGCAUGCUGGAGGUAUCAGAAGUGCGAAUGCUGACAUAAGUAACGAUAAAGCGGGUGAAAAGCCCGCUCGCCGGAAGACCAAGGGUUCCUGUCCAACGUUAAUCGGGGCAGGGUGAGUCGACCCCUAAGGCGAGGCCGAAAGGCGUAGUCGAUGGGAAACGGGUUAAUAUUCCCGUACUUGGUGUUACUGCGAAGGGGGGACGGAGAAGGCUAUGUUGGCCGGGCGACGGUUGUCCCGGUUUAAGCGUGUAGGYKKGUGUUCCAGGYAAAUCCGGUUCACUUUAACACUGAGGCGUGAUGACGAGGCACUACGGUGCUGAAGCAACAAAUGCCCUGCUUCCAGGAAAAGCCUCUAAGCAUCAGGUAACAUCAAAUCGUACCCCAAACCGACACAGGUGGUCAGGUAGAGAAUACCAAGGCGCUUGAGAGAACUCGGGUGAAGGAACUAGGCAAAAUGGUGCCGUAACUUCGGGAGAAGGCACGCUGACACGUAGGUGAAGUGAUUUACUCAUGGAGCUGAAGUCAGUCGAAGAUACCAGCUGGCUGCAACUGUUUAUUAAAAACACAGCACUGUGCAAACACGAAAGUGGACGUAUACGGUGUGACGCCUGCCCGGUGCCGGAAGGUUAAUUGAUGGGGUCAGCGCAAGCGAAGCUCCUGAUCGAAGCCCCGGUAAACGGCGGCCGUAACUAUAACGGUCCUAAGGUAGCGAAAUUCCUUGUCGGGUAAGUUCCGACCUGCACGAAUGGCGUAAUGAUGGCCAGGCUGUCUCCACCCGAGACUCAGUGAAAUUGAACUCGCUGUGAAGAUGCAGUGUACCCGCGGCAAGACGGAAAGACCCCGUGAACCUUUACUAUAGCUUGACACUGAACAUUGAGCCUUGAUGUGUAGGAUAGGUGGGAGGCUUUGAAGUGUGGACGCCAGUCUGCAUGGAGCCGACCUUGAAAUACCACCCUUUAAUGUUUGAUGUUCUAACGUGGACCCGUGAUCCGGGUUGCGGACAGUGUCUGGUGGGUAGUUUGACUGGGGCGGUCUCCUCCUAAAGAGUAACGGAGGAGCACGAAGGUUGGCUAAUCCUGGUCGGACAUCAGGAGGUUAGUGCAAUGGCAUAAGCCAGCUUGACUGCGAGCGUGACGGCGCGAGCAGGUGCGAAAGCAGGUCAUAGUGAUCCGGUGGUUCUGAAUGGAAGGGCCAUCGCUCAACGGAUAAAAGGUACUCCGGGGAUAACAGGCUGAUACCGCCCAAGAGUUCAUAUCGACGGCGGUGUUUGGCACCUCGAUGUCGGCUCAUCACAUCCUGGGGCUGAAGUAGGUCCCAAGGGUAUGGCUGUUCGCCAUUUAAAGUGGUACGCGAGCUGGGUUUAGAACGUCGUGAGACAGUUCGGUCCCUAUCUGCCGUGGGCGCUGGAGAACUGAGGGGGGCUGCUCCUAGUACGAGAGGACCGGAGUGGACGCAUCACUGGUGUUCGGGUUGUCAUGCCAAUGGCACUGCCCGGUAGCUAAAUGCGGAAGAGAUAAGUGCUGAAAGCAUCUAAGCACGAAACUUGCCCCGAGAUGAGUUCUCCCUGAGACUUUAAGUCUCCUGAAGGAACGUUGAAGACGACGACGUUGAUAGGCCGGGUGUGUAAGCGCAGCGAUGCGUUGAGCUAACCGGUACUAAUGAACCGUGAGGCUUAACCUUACAACGCCGAAG